CAAAAACAUGUCUUUUUGAUUAUAAUUUAAAGUCUAACCUGCCCAAUGAGGAGUUAAAUGGCCGCGGUAUUUUGACCGUGCAAAGGUAGCAUAAUCAUUAGUUUUUUAAUUGAAAGCUGGUAUGAAUGGUUGGACGAGAAAAUAACUGUCUCGGUUUAAAUUAAAUUAGAAUUUUAUUUAUGAGUAAAAAAGCUCAUAUGAGUUUAAAAGACGAGAAGACCCUAUAGAAUUUAAUAUAUGUAUAUAUAUAUUAUUUUUAGUAUUAAUAAUAAGUUAUAUAUAAUUAUAUUUUGUUGGGGUGAUGGAAAAAUUAAAUUAACUUUUUUUAUAUAAAAACAUUAAUGUAUGAAAAAAUGAUCCGUUAAUUACGAUUAUAAGAUUAAAUUACCUUAGGGAUAACAGCGUAAUUUUUUUUUAGAGUUUUUAUAGAAAAAAGAGUUUGCGACCUCGAUGUUGGAUUAAAAUUAACUUUUGGUGUAGGGGCU
RNAcentral lists this ribosomal RNA (485 nucleotides) under Xylotrupes damarensis. RNAcentral describes it as "partial large subunit ribosomal RNA". Lineage: Eukaryota; Metazoa; Arthropoda; Insecta; Coleoptera; Scarabaeidae. The record is from RNAcentral.